This 108-nucleotide non-coding RNA is filed under the name Thermotalea metallivorans. RNAcentral's name for it is "TPP sequence". It matches the Rfam family "TPP riboswitch aptamer (THI element)". From Rfam's summary of the family: Vitamin B(1) in its active form thiamin pyrophosphate (TPP) is an essential coenzyme that is synthesised by coupling of pyrimidine and thiazole moieties in bacteria. The previously detected thiamin-regulatory element, thi box was extended, resulting in a new, highly conserved RNA secondary structure, the THI element, which is widely distributed in eubacteria and also occurs in some archaea. The record is from Rfam by way of RNAcentral. Lineage: Bacteria; Bacillati; Bacillota; Clostridia; Peptostreptococcales; Thermotaleaceae.
GAAUAGGAAAAGGGGAGCUAAAUGAAUUUGGCUGAGAGGGAGCUAUUCUGCUCCGACCCAUAACCUGAUCUGGAUAAUGCCAGCGGAGGGAAAAAUAUAUGGAUGAAC